AGUUUGAUCCUGGCUCAGGACGAACGCUGGCGGCGCGCCUAACACAUGCAAGUCGAACGAGCGAGAGAGAGCUUGCUUCUCUCGAGGGUGGCAGGGGGAUAACGGUGAGACUCUCUAAAAGGGGGCAACAGUGGAACGUUCUUAACCCCCUAACCCCGGGGUCGCCUCGCCAAGAGAAAAGGACCAUCCCUUUGAGAGGCUUCGGUCCGAUUACUUAGUGGGGAGGUAAGGCCCACCAAGGCCACGAUCGGUACCCGGAUUGAAGGUUAAACGCCCACUUGGGAUUGAACCCGCCCCAACUCCUAGGGGAGCAGCAGUGGGAAUUUUGCACAAUGGGGAAACCCUGAUGCAAGGACCCCGCGUGGAAGAAGAAGGUCUUCGGAUUGUAAACUCCUGUUGUUGGGGAAGAUAAUGACGGUACCCAACAAGGAAGUGACGGCUAACUACGUGCCAGCAGCCGCGGUAAAACGUAGGUCACAAGCGUUGUCCGGAAUUACUGGGUGUAAAGGGAGCGCAGGCGGGAAGACAAGUUGGAAGUGAAAUCUAUGGGCUCAACCCAUAAACUGCUUUCAAAACUGUUUUUCUUGAGUAGUGCAGAGGUAGGCGGAAUUCCCGGUGUAGCGGUGGAAUGCGUAGAUAUCGGGAGGAACACCAGUGGCGAAGGCGGCCUACUGGGCACCAACUGACGCUGAGGCUCGAAAGUGUGGGUAGCAAACAGGAUUAGAUACCCUGGUAGUCCACACCGUAAACGAUGAUUACUAGGUGUUGGAGGAUUGACCCCUUCAGUGCCGCAGUUAACACAAUAAGUAAUCCACCUGGGGAGUACGACCGCAAGGUUGAAACUCAAAGGAAUUGACGGGGGCCCGCACAAGCAGUGGAGUAUGUGGUUUAAUUCGACGCAACGCGAAGAACCUUACCAAGUCUUGACAUCCCUUGACAGACAUAGAAAUAUGUAUUCUCUUCGGAGCAAGGAGACAGGUGGUGCAUGGUUGUCGUCAGCUCGUGUCGUGAGAUGUUGGGUUAAGUCCCGCAACGAGCGCAACCCUUAUGGUCAGUUACUACGCAAGAGGACUCUGGUCAGACUGCCGUUGACAAAACGGAGGAAGGUGGGGAUGACGUCAAAUCAUCAUGCCCUUUAUGACUUGGGCUACACACGUACUACAAUGGCGUUAAACAAAGAGAAGCGAGACCGCGAGGUGGAGCAAAACUCAGAAACAACGUCCCAGUUCGGACUGCAGGCUGCAACUCGCCUGCACGAAGUCGGAAUUGCUAGUAAUCGUGGAUCAGCAUGCCACGGUGAAUACGUUCCCGGGCCUUGUACACACCGCCCGUC
Molecule: ribosomal RNA, 1333 nt
Filed under: uncultured bacterium
Lineage: Bacteria
Description: bacterial SSU rRNA
Rfam family: Bacterial small subunit ribosomal RNA
Source: RNAcentral